RNAcentral lists this ribosomal RNA (712 nucleotides) under uncultured Serratia sp. Its description in RNAcentral is "bacterial SSU rRNA". It matches the Rfam family "Bacterial small subunit ribosomal RNA", at positions 768 to 1480 of the family's 1533-position model. The record is from RNAcentral. Lineage: Bacteria; Pseudomonadati; Pseudomonadota; Gammaproteobacteria; Enterobacterales; Yersiniaceae.
GCAAACAGGAUUAGAUACCCUGGUAGUCCACGCUGUAAACGAUGUCGAUUUGGAGGUUGUGCCCUUGAGGCGUGGCUUCCGGAGCUAACGCGUUAAAUCGACCGCCUGGGGAGUACGGCCGCAAGGUUAAAACUCAAAUGAAUUGACGGGGGCCCGCACAAGCGGUGGAGCAUGUGGUUUAAUUCGAUGCAACGCGAAGAACCUUACCUACUCUUGACAUCCAGAGAACUUUCCAGAGAUGGAUUGGUGCCUUCGGGAACUCUGAGACAGGUGCUGCAUGGCUGUCGUCAGCUCGUGUUGUGAAAUGUUGGGUUAAGUCCCGCAACGAGCGCAACCCUUAUCCUUUGUUGCCAGCGGUUCGGCCGGGAACUCAAAGGAGACUGCCAGUGAUAAACUGGAGGAAGGUGGGGAUGACGUCAAGUCAUCAUGGCCCUUACGAGUAGGGCUACACACGUGCUACAAUGGCAUAUACAAAGAGAAGCGACCUCGCGAGAGCAAGCGGACCUCAUAAAGUAUGUCGUAGUCCGGAUUGGAGUCUGCAACUCGACUCCAUGAAGUCGGAAUCGCUAGUAAUCGUAGAUCAGAAUGCUACGGUGAAUACGUUCCCGGGCCUUGUACACACCGCCCGUCACACCAUGGGAGUGGGUUGCAAAAGAAGUAGGUAGCUUAACCUUCGGGAGGGCGCUUACCACUUUGUGAUUCAUGACUGGGG